GUACCAGGCUGCCUAGGAAGCCAGGUGGUGCCUUUAAGAUCUCCAUGGAGAAACGCACAGCUCGACGCAGGAUCCGACGAAGAACCAGCCUAAAGGGGUUCAGAGCCCAGACAUGAAUCCCCAGCGGCUCAUGCCCUUCCAGACUCACGGGGGACCUGACAUCCCAGGGAAGAUGCCAUCAGAGAUGCAGACACUGAGUGUGCGGAUGUGGUCAGCCACCACGCGGUACGCUGUGUCUGUGCGCCCCUCGUCUGCCACCCCUACUCGGCCCAAGUAAGGGGGUGCCCUGCAGCCCUGGGAAGCAGAAGAGUCAGCCAGUGGCCCUGCCUGACCUGGCCCAGCCCAUUCCAGGAGGUAUUAGCAUGCUUGCUUUAAAGAAGAAGAAGCUGAGGCUCAGAGGAACUCAGUGACACAAGGCUACCCAGCUCUCAAGGAGCAGAUCUGAGAUCUCAGCCGGGCCUGUUGGACUCCAGGUGCUCUCCACUACCUGUUCUUGCCUCUCCCAUCUUUUGUGGGGGUGGGCAGGGAGGGAGAGUGUAAGCUACAUACACGGAAAUGCUCCAAAGCAGGGAGCUUGAUUCACUUACCACCAAACCUCUCUCUUCCCCAAGCUUCUUCGUCUAACAGUCAUGCCAUUCACUGUGUUGCUCAAGUCAAUAGCCUGGGAGCCAUCUUUGAAUUCUUUUUCCCCUACCCGUCAUGAUCCAUCAGUGGUUCCUUUUGCUCCUACCUCCAUGACAUCUCUCAAAUCAAUCUACUUGUCUCUACUUCCACUGCUAUUAUCCGAAGCAUGCCCUGUGGUCCUUGCCUGGACCGAUAAUAGCCUCCCAACUGAUUCCUAAGUUUCUGCUCUCAUCUCCCUCCAGCUCAUCCUCCACACAGCAACAGGAGUAGCCUUUUAAAAGUGUACAUCAGGCUGGGCGCGGUGGCUCACACCUGUAAUCUCAACACUUUGGGAGGCUGAGGCGGGUGGAUCACCUGAGG
Molecule: long non-coding RNA, 984 nt
Filed under: Homo sapiens (human)
Lineage: Eukaryota; Metazoa; Chordata; Mammalia; Primates; Hominidae
Description: HSALNT0334399
Source: RNAcentral